RNAcentral lists this transfer-messenger RNA (392 nucleotides) under Patescibacteria group. RNAcentral's name for it is "UBA11705 sp003518055 Standard tmRNA". It matches the Rfam family "transfer-messenger RNA". From Rfam's summary of the family: Bacterial tmRNA, also known as 10Sa RNA or SsrA, is named for its dual tRNA and mRNA-like properties. Its role is to liberate the mRNA from a stalled ribosome. RNAcentral also lists the same sequence under 1 other name. The record is from RNAcentral.
GGGGAUGCUGGGCUUCGACAUGAAGAUUUAUCAUUCUUUUGCGCAGAAUGAGCUGUGGCUCGCUCAUAAAACCAACCAUAAACCUAUAAGUGCAAAAACACUUGUCAGCCAGACCCGAUCCAUGUUCACCAUGCCGGUCCUGGCUACCGUUGCGGCCUAAUUAGUGCCAGCAACCGUUUGCCUGCCCAUGUCUUCUAGGCAGAUCCAAACGUCAUAAUGAAGGCUGGGUUCCAAAGUCACUUCGCUUUGGGGCUAAGACCAAAUGGAGUUUGAAUUUUCAAGGUUUUGUCGGCUUUUAUACUUGAAACUUCGAGAUCACAAAGCUGACUAUUUCUGUAGAGCCAAAAGAAUGUCCUUCGUGGACGCGGGUUCAACUCCCGCCAUCUCCACCA